RNAcentral lists this long non-coding RNA (1089 nucleotides) under Felis catus (domestic cat). RNAcentral's name for it is "lncRNA (ENSFCAG00000052402.1)". Lineage: Eukaryota; Metazoa; Chordata; Mammalia; Carnivora; Felidae. The record is from RNAcentral.
AUGUGCAGGGCAUCUGGGGGGCAGGCAGCGAGGAGCAGGGCAGGGCCGCUCCCCGCCUGGAAGGGGGGUCGUGGACGCGGGUGGGGUGGGCGUGCGGGCCGCCUGCGCCGUCUGCCCCGUGGUGGGGGGCUCCUCGGCGGGGUGUGGGGAGGGGACGGGGUGCGAAGCCCCCGUCCCCUCCCCACCCCCCCGCUUGGCCCUGCCUGCAAGGAGAAGUCGGGAGGACACCCAGCCACUCGCCGCCCUGCCCGCCGCCCGGAGGGAGGCCUGUGCGGCGCUCAGGGCUUCCAAGGCGCCUCGCUGUGCCCUGCGAGGGGACAGGGGACAGGGGACAGGGGACAGGGCUCUCGGGCGGCGGGGACGCGGGGAGCCCGCAGGCCGGAAACAAGACCACGGCUCCUUUCUUUUCAGAGACUCGAUUUCUUGGAACGCACACCCUUCGGGUUUGCUAUUUUUACCCGCCCCAGCCUUCCGGUCUCCAUGGCGACGCCUCCAAACAGCAGAUUCCAGGCGGCAAUGACGUCACCUUUCCCCUUCCUGCCGCCCAGGCCUCCGGGCGCUGCCGGGCCGACCCCGUCGCGCGCCCCCCUGCGCCCCGGCCGGGCCCCCACCCCCCUCCCCUCCCCCGGCCGUGGGGUCCCCCGCGCCCCCGCGCCCCUGCCCGCCCGCCGGCGGGGCCUUGGGGGGCCGCGCCGCCCGUCCCCGCGGGGCGGCUGUGCUGGAGCCCCCGUGGCAGAGGGCACGGGCCCAGGGCGGCCCUCCCUCCCGCUCCGGGAUCCCUGCCAUGCGGGCCGCCCUGUGGGAGCUGCGCGGGCCCUCGCGGCCGGGGAGGCAGGGGCAGGCCGGCGCCAGGCCUCGCUGGCCGCGGGGGUAGCAGCCCGUCUGGCCUGGGAAGCCCCUGCCGCUCCCUCGUCGGAAACCGGUGACCUACGGCAGAGGGGCUCCGAGGUGGCGGGAGAGCCGCAGGGGCCCGUGGCCUGGUCGUUUGAGCCCCUGCCGCUGUGCCCCUGGGCGUCCGAACCCCCUCCCGCAUGGUGGCAGUCCUGUCCGGGCCUGUCGUGGGCCAUGCGCUGCACACCUGGGUCCUGA